CGCAUCGAUAGUAGAAACAUUGAUCGGCAACCCUUUGAUUGGUCGGCGAAGAUGUCGAAGGAGCGCGCUCAGUAUUUUUCGGCAGCAGAGCAAGAACUCUUGAUUGAGGGAUUUCAGGAGUUUCAGAGUUUAAUUAAAACGCAGGGGAACACUGCAAAGGCUGCAAAAGCAAGGAGAGAGGGCUGGCAGAAAGUUGCUGACAAAUUCAACUCGUAAGUAAUUUAUUAUAUUAUAUUACAUUAUAUCCUCUUUCACAUUAGAGCCACAACAGGACCCACUAGAACAUGGGAACAAGUAAAAGUGAAAUAUAAGAAUAUUCUACAGAAUGGUAAUAUUUAUCACUUAUAUUGCUUUUAGUCUAUGACAAGAGACCCUGAAAUAAUCUGUUUGUUUGUUUAUAACAGCAACCAAGAAAAGGGCAGAGCAAAUAAAGACAGGUGGUGGUCCUGCACCCCCUCGUCACACCCCGGCUUUUUGUACUGUGACAUUUAUUGACAUUGUGGGUUUUUGUGUGUAGUUUUACAACACUCCAUCACUUUUACCUGUUCCCAUGCAAGGGGUGACUGAAGCAUGCACAGUAAGUUGGGAGAUAUAUAUAUAUAUCUAUAUAGAGAGAGAGAGAGAGAGAGAGUGUUAAGUAAAUAAUACCCUGACGGGAGAAUCGAUAUCUCUCUAUGAGCACACCGUCGCGCUGAGCUAAAGGAUCCUGUCUGUCCCGCAAUAUCCGCUGAAUCCUGAAAACUCUCCUUAUCAAUCUUGCACCUUCCUUGCUCGCGUACAAACGGACAGGACAUGGCUGCGACAGACUUCCCAAAUCCACCUUCGCUUUUAUAGCCGUGGUCUCUCAUCUUGAUUACACGAAGUGUUUUACUAUUACUACUCUAAAAUAUGAAUUACAUCUGAAAUAAUCAAAUACAUGAAAUAGAAUGAUUAAUAGUACAUUUCCCUUUUUUUCGGAAAUGACCUGUAUGUAUCUGUAUGAAAUCAAUAAAAGAAUCAAAUACUGCAUUAUCUUUAGUUACAUUGAUGAUAUUUAUUUAUGGUAAAACAGUGGAGAAAUAUCGCUGUUGCUUUCAUAUAAAUGAAGCGGACAUACCUGAGUGGCCGCGAUCUAAUCCUGUUUACGCUUACGGAUCUGUUGCUAUGACAGCAAGUCCCGGAUGAGCUUCGGAGAACCGAACGAUCCAAGAUCACGCAAAAUCGUCAACAAUCAAAUCCGGCUAACUUACUUAGCGAGGUACGAAGAACGGGCCCCUGGAGAAGCAGCAGUAAGCAACAGAAAUGGAUCUUUGUUAUUGUUUGCCAAACUGGA
This is a long non-coding RNA of Oreochromis aureus, 1312 nucleotides long. Lineage: Eukaryota; Metazoa; Chordata; Actinopteri; Cichliformes; Cichlidae. The record is from Ensembl.